GACGAACGCUGGCGGCGUGCCUAAUACAUGCAAGUCGAGCGCUGUAGCUUGGUCCUUGUACCAACUGGAUGAGCAGCGAACGGGUGCGUAACGCGUGGGGAAUCUGCCUUUGAGUGGGGGACAACAUUUGGAAACGAAUGCUAAUAGCGCCUAAAACCUUUAAACACAAGUUAUCAGUUUGAAAGAUGCAAUUGCAUCACUCAAAGAUGAUCACGCGUUGUAUUAGCUGGUUGGUGGGGUAAAGGCUCAUCAAGGCGAGGAUACAUAGCCGACCGGAGAGGUGCGUCGCCCAGAUGGGAAUUGAGACACGCCCAGACUUCCUCCGGGAGGCACCGUCGGGAAAUCUUCGGCAAUGGACGAAAGUCUAACGGAGCAACGCCGGGUGAUGAAGAAAGUUUUUGGGUCGUAAAAACCUGGUUGGUGGGAAGAAACAGGAUGGAGGGGGAAAGGCCAAUCAUUGGACGGAAACAACCAGAAAAGCAACGCCUACUUACGU
RNAcentral lists this ribosomal RNA (496 nucleotides) under uncultured bacterium. RNAcentral describes it as "partial 16S ribosomal RNA". It matches the Rfam family "Bacterial small subunit ribosomal RNA", at positions 28 to 506 of the family's 1533-position model. The record is from RNAcentral.